GUUAAUUGAGUUAUGAACUACAUCUGCCAAUGGGCUGGACAACACUUCUAUGAGAAGCUACAGUCCAACACUUUUACCUGCUAGGCUAAUGAUCAGAUAAAUCCUAAAAUUUGCAUGCUUUUUCUAUUACAUCCCCAUGCUUUUAGCUUCAUCAAUUUGGUUUAUAAGUUCCUAAUUUUGUCUCAAUUGUAUCCUACAGGUCUGAGGUGCCUAUAAUUGUUGUUGUGAUAACAAGGUGGAAACGAGAUGACUUGGAAUGAAUGGAUCCCACUUGAGUUAUCAAAUGGUGGCAUUUUGCAGAAGUUUCCUUAUAAAAUUGCUUAAAAUGUGUUGAGGUUCAUAUCGUGGCUAUUAGGGUUUAGCAGAGUCCUGUGUCAUUAAAGUGAACAAUUUUCAUUCACUGUCCAAAGCAGACCACCACACCGCAUCACCAAUUUUCA
RNAcentral lists this unclassified non-coding RNA (440 nucleotides) under Hevea brasiliensis (rubber tree). Lineage: Eukaryota; Viridiplantae; Streptophyta; Magnoliopsida; Malpighiales; Euphorbiaceae. The record is from RNAcentral.